UACGUAGGGUGCGAGCGUUAAUCGGAAUUACUGGGCGUAAAGCGUGCGCAGGCGGUUUUGUAAGCCAGAUGUGAAAUCCCCGGGCUUAACCUGGGAAUGGCAUUUGGGACUGCAAGGCUGGAGUUUGGCAGAGGAGACUGGAAUUCCUGGUGUAGCAGUGAAAUGCGUAGAGAUGUGGAGGAACACCGAUGGCGAAGGCAGCCCCCUGGGCUAACACUGACGCUCAUGCACGAAAGCGUGGGGAGCAAACAGG
Molecule: ribosomal RNA, 253 nt
Filed under: uncultured bacterium
Lineage: Bacteria
Description: partial 16S ribosomal RNA
Rfam family: Bacterial small subunit ribosomal RNA
Source: RNAcentral